Molecule: long non-coding RNA, 1570 nt
Filed under: Anas platyrhynchos platyrhynchos (common mallard)
Lineage: Eukaryota; Metazoa; Chordata; Aves; Anseriformes; Anatidae
Description: lncRNA (ENSAPLG00000019626.1)
Source: RNAcentral
GUCUGUGUUUCACUAUUGUUCCUCUGUACAUAGGUUGAAACUUGAAAGCAUGUUGGUAUCAAAGUGCAUGCGGUCCUUAGCACACAGACCCCACUAAGCUCAUUUCCUACCCGAACGCAGAGCUCAGUUUAAAAGUUAAUUCCUCCCCUGCAGAGGUUAUGGGUUACGGCUAUAUUCCCUCCUUUAAUGAGGGUGAAUACUGCUGUGCUGGGAAUAUUUCCAUGGCCAAAUUAAACUCUUGAAGUAAGCCCAGCAUAGCCAAGAGAAAGCUCUGCAACCUUUCCUUACCUCUCCUUACGGUCUGACCUCACCACAGCAGACUUAAGCCCGUAGCUGGGAACAAAGCACGGGGCCCAAUUCUGCCCUCAGAUACACAGGGGCAAGUCUGCCUUCUCCGGGAGGAUGCUCAGGUACUACUGAAGGCAUUGCUGGACCACAGUCUUUGUAGUCUACCAGACUGGAAGCCAUGUGUACUGAGGGAGUCUUUUAGCUUAGUAUGUCUGGUGUUUUCCUUUCCUUUUCUUUCUUUUUUUUUCUUUCUUUUUUUUUCCUUGUGUUUUACCAAGCCCUCAAGAAGGCCUUUGAACUGACACACACAAAAAAUGAAAAAAAAAAAAAAAAAAAAAAAAAAAAAAAAAAAAGAGGAAGUUUUGUUAGUCGGACUGCUCCAUCGCUGUGUGUUACAGGAAUUUCUGUACUUUCCACAGGGCAGCAAGCACUUGGCACUGCAACACUUUCACCCUGCCCCCUGGCCACUUCCUCGAAGGAAGGGAAAGGAGUGAUGAAAUCUGCCCCUGUGGGAUACAGGGCUGAGUCUCUGGGGCCGUCCCCACCAGUUUGUGGGGCAAAACCCGGCAGGACGUGCCCGGGGGGCUCCCCCCUGAGUGUCCCCAGCCCCCUUAGCCCUCUGUGGGCCCGCUGGAGGCCGCCAUGGCCGCCUCCUCCCCCGGGCCCCCCGAGGGCGGGAGGAAAAUGGCCGCCAUGGCCUCUGGGCUGAGGGGGCCGGGCUGCCCUCUGCCGGCCUCAGGGGGAAAAGGGGAGCGGGGAGGUGGGCACAAAGUCAGCGCCGGGGUGCUUCGGAGUCAGGCCUGCCCCCUUCCAGAGCCCUAAAACAUUUUAGGGAGCACAGGGCUUUCAUUCUGCCAUCCAAAGGGGGAGGUGGAGGGGUUACCCCAGCCUCUGAGGUUCCGCAGCCCGCCAGCUUCACAGCAGCAUCCAUGCCCUGCAACCAUCAGGACCCGACUGUUUGUAAUGAGGAAGAAAAUUUUCAUAAAUAUCUGCCGACUCCAACAGAACGGGAGUCAAAAAAAAAGCUUAUUGCAGAAUUUGGGGUAAUUUUCAAGCUUGUCAUUGCUGCAACAUAAAUAGGGAAGUGCUCUUUAUGUUGGGGAAGGGAAAUUGUACAAAGCAUUUUAAGGGAGGAUGUAGUGUCUUUAAAUAUAAUUAAUUUCCCGGUCUGAAGACUUUCACCCUACAGUCACACAGUUUUUUUUGCUGGUGUAUAUUAUUUCAGCAGGCACUUUGGAUUUUUUUAGCUCCAAAAUAAAUGAAUGUGAGUGAGAGAUUUGCA